UCUUGUCUCUUUUCUUUCACCAGCAGCAGGUAGUCCUCCUCGCACCCCUGCGUUGUAUGCCCCGCUGGUCGGGACAUAAACUGGCGCCCAACGUGGGGCCCGAGGCACGGAACGGCGCUGUUGGCACCUACUCGGAAGACGCCCCGGCCGGGCACCCCUUGAGCCCAAGAGCUCGCUUGGAGCCCGUGAGCCAUCAGCCCACGGGAUAAGACUCCGCGUUGAUCGUCGCUGGAUUGGCCGCCCCAGCAGACAUCGGAACGGCAAUGAAGCUCUGCCUCUUUAUCCUCCUCAUAUGCUCCUCCUGUAUAUACGCCGGCUUCGGACCCCUGCCAAAUCCGCAAGAACUCAUAAGACUCCUCUAUGGGAACCCCUGUGACUGCGGUGGAGGUACGACCACGAUUACCCCCUCCUCUUAUACUAAAACAAUUGACUGCUCCUCAAAAAUAGCCUACCUAGCCUAUAGUCAAA
Molecule: long non-coding RNA, 468 nt
Organism: Lemur catta (Ring-tailed lemur)
Lineage: Eukaryota; Metazoa; Chordata; Mammalia; Primates; Lemuridae
Exons: 2
Source: RefSeq, a predicted model, not a curated record